Molecule: small RNA, 353 nt
Filed under: Arabidopsis thaliana (thale cress)
Lineage: Eukaryota; Viridiplantae; Streptophyta; Magnoliopsida; Brassicales; Brassicaceae
Description: ATSL162690
Source: RNAcentral
GUUUUGAAGUCAAAUAUGACUUGAUGGCAUGUGUAUGAUUGAGUAUAGGAACUCAACCACAACCGGAUCUUGAAAGCCCAAGUAGUGUUUCCUUUUUAGAAGGUACAAAGACAAAGACUCAUACGGACUUUGGGUACACCAUCAAAACUUUGAGAAGCAAGAAGAAGCUUGGUUAAUGUUUUGGAAUCAAAUAUGACUUGAUGUCAUGUGUAUGAUGGAGUAUAAGGACGAGAAUUGCAACCGGAUCUUAAAAGCCUAAGUAGUGUUUCCUUGUUAGAAGAUACAAAGCCAAUGAAUCAUACGGACUUUCGCUACACCAUCAAAGCUUUGUGAAGCAAGAAGAAGCUUAGUUA